CACGUAGGGGCCAAGCGUUGUCCGGAUUUAUUGGGCGUAAAGAGCUCGUAGGCGGUUCGACAAGUCGGGUGUGAAAACUCCGGGCUCAACCCGGAGACGCCACCCGAUACUGUCGUGACUGGAGUCCGGUAGGGGAGUGGGGAAUUCCUGGUGUAGCGGUGAAAUGCGUAGAUAUCGGGAGGAACAUCAGUGGCGAAGGCGGCUACCUGGCCCAAUACUGACACUCAGGUGCGACAGCGUGGGGAGCAAACAGG
RNAcentral lists this ribosomal RNA (254 nucleotides) under uncultured bacterium. RNAcentral describes it as "partial 16S ribosomal RNA". It matches the Rfam family "Bacterial small subunit ribosomal RNA", at positions 524 to 776 of the family's 1533-position model. The record is from RNAcentral.